GAUGAACGCUGGCGGCGUGCUUAACACAUGCAAGUCGAACGGUGAACACGGAGCUUGCUCUGUGGGAUCAGUGGCGAACGGGUGAGUAACACGUGAGCAACCUGCCCCUGACUCUGGGAUAAGCGCUGGAAACGGCGUCUAAUACUGGAUAUGUGACGUGACCGCAUGGUCUGCGUUUGGAAAGAUUUUUCGGUUGGGGAUGGGCUCGCGGCCUAUCAGCUUGUUGGUGAGGUAAUGGCUCACCAAGGCGUCGACGGGUAGCCGGCCUGAGAGGGUGACCGGCCACACUGGGAUUGAGACACGGCCCAGACUCCUACGGGAGGCAGCAGUGGGGAAUAUUGCACAAUGGGCGAAAGCCUGAUGCAGCAACGCCGCGUGGGGGAUGACGGCCUUCGGGUUGUAAACCGUUUUUAGCAGGGAAGAAGCGAAAGUGACGGUACCUGCAGAAAAAGCGCCGGCUAACUACGU
This 468-nucleotide ribosomal RNA is filed under the name uncultured bacterium. Its description in RNAcentral is "partial 16S ribosomal RNA". It matches the Rfam family "Bacterial small subunit ribosomal RNA", at positions 28 to 506 of the family's 1533-position model. The record is from RNAcentral.